AAGGAUGCAAAAAUUGUUAUCAAAUUUUUAUUAUUCAUAGUCAUUAAUUGUCAUAUAUAUUUGUUAAUCAUAAUAGGUAAUUCCGUAGCUUUUAUUUAAGGAAAAAAACUUCUUAUAUUUUGGGUUAAUAUAAUAUUUUUUAGCAAUUGGAUUUGGACCAACAUUUUUCAAUUGAUUCUUAAGCUGCCACAUAUGAUAAAUUAACAUCUUAAUUAAGUGAUACCUAAGCAGAGUUUCUUUUUAAUUAUACUACAAGAAAACAUGUCAUUUCCGACUGCAGGCUGCAACUGAUUACGUAGUCACUAAAUUUUACGACUUACGUCCGACUGUUUUGCGACUAAAUUGCGACCACAAAGAAACAGUCGUUCGUCAGUCACAUAUUAACGAUUGACUAUUUCAGUCGCAAAUGAGUCGUUACUUAACGACUGAUUUGUGACAACAAUGUUGUCGGUACGAAUCAGUCGCAAAUCAAUCACAAUAUGUGCGACUAUAUUGGGACUGAUAUUCAUGUUCAUAUAUCAGUCGGUAAAAACUAGUACAAAACACGUGAUUAAAGUUUUGUUGUUGGGAUACCAAAUUUUUACCAGACAGUCGUUAAUUAGUCGCCUUUUCAUUAUUUACCCUAAAUCUAAUUCCCUAAACCAUAAUAUGCUUUUAAACCUUCAAUGGUCAAAAAUGUGAUGUCUAGCCUAAACCCUUUUUACAAAUAUUAAACUUUGUGAUGAAUAUAUUUGGUUUCUAUUUUAGUUAGGGAUUAUGGUAUGAGAUUUAAAUUUUAGAGAUUGUGGUUUGAGAUUAAAACCUUAUAGUCAAGAAAAUGUUAAAAAUAAAACAAUUUGGUUAAUAAAUUUAAUUUUGUUAAAAUGUUAUAUUAGACUAUUAAAAUGUAUAAAAAGAGUUAUUAAAAAUAUAACAACCUGGUUAGUAAAUUAUAAUAGGUACAGAGCAAGCAGUCGCAAAACAAUCACUAAAUUAUAACUAGCGACUGUUUUGUGACAACUUGUUGUUUGUAGUUGUAAAACAGUCGCUAAUUAAUGACUGUUUUGUGACUACUUACUCUAUACCCUAAAUUCUAAUUUUAACAUUUAUACCCCAAACCCCAAAUUCAAACCUAUAGAUAAACUAUAAAAUAUUAUAUUUUCAAUCUUAUAAUCAAAUUAAACUUCAGACGAAAUAUUUGUUUUAAAAAUGAUAUCAAAAUAUAAUAAUUGGAUAUAAACCUAGUAUAUACUAUAUUGCUGUUGUGAAAUGUUGUUCUUUUACACAUUCCCUUUGUUGUUAUAGGAUGAGAAGGUUUGUAUCGUAGAUCAUAAACACACUCCUUAUUUCAAUAAAUCAUAUAUACAAAUCUUUAACCUAUAUCAUAAUCAUAUAAACUCUAAAUCAUAAAUCAUACAACCAAAAUAUAACUACAUUAUAUAUAUAUACAAAUCUUUAACCUAAACUCAUACCAUGAAUCCAAACACACUCCUUAUUUCCCUAAAACAUAAUAACUCUUCAAAACUAAACUCUUAGUUACUAAAUUAUAAUUACUAUAAUUAUAAACUCAAAUUUUAAUCUUUUUAUCUUAAAUCUUCAAUUCAAACUCCAUACUCUAAAAAUACAUUCAAACAAAUUCUAAACACAAACAUCAUAUAUUCUCAAAUCCAAAACAUAUACUUUCAAUUAGUUAAUCUUGAAUUAUAAACAAAAUCAUUAAAUUGUUUUUGGUAAAAAAAUCAUUAAUUUUUUUUUUUAUGUUAUACUUUUGUAACUAUAGAUAUUUUAUAUGAUAUAAAUAAAAUAUAAAAAUCUUUAACACUCAAAACCCAAAGCCAUAUUUCCAAAUUUAACAACUAUUUCUAUUUACAAAUAUUUUAAAUCCAUAAUAUAAAAGUAACGAUUUGCUUUCAACAAGAAAAUUUGUCAGAAAAAAAAAAAGUAAAAAAGAUCUAUCGAUCCUCGGUAACACAAAGAAUGGACUCUUAUUGGUCAAUACAACGAGGGUGAGGAUAACAUCUUUUUAAUCUAAACCGUUAAUAUAACCUGAUCUAAUGGAUACAAUGUUGUACCAUUUAAUAUUUUAUUUUUUAUUUUAUUGACUUUCUCUGUAACCCUCUUUCUCUCUUCUUCUUCUCCGCUUUCGCUGAGUCCACUCUCUGCUCCUCCGCCAUCCAGACUACUCUCUCGUCCUCUGACAUCUAUCACCUUUCUCCUCCUCCGCCGUAAAUAUUUGCCAUCUUCCAGACUCAUCUCUCCUCCUCGCCGUUCAGUCUUCUAUCUUCUCCUCCGUUGUCAUGUCUCUUCUCCGCUCCUUCACAGUUCAGGCUCGUCAAAGGUAUAAUCAUCCUGACACAAGCUUCACAGCUAAUCAAAGCAAGAAGAAGAGGACGCAAAUUUGGAAGCCGAGAAAGAAGAAGAAGAAGAAGGCGGGGGUGGAUGCAAUAGGCGGAACCGUAGGAUGCGAUGGACGGGGACGAGCUUGACGGGCCCAGAGGAUGCAAUGGACGGGACUAGCUUCACGGUGGUGGAUGUGUUGUGUGGCGGUCAUUCCGUCACCGCUUCCUGUGGAGUGACGAUGAUUAUGUCACCGUCUCCGGUGGUGGCGUGGUGCACGGGAAAUACAAUAUAUAUUUUUGUAUAUGUAUUUCUUUGUAUAUUAUAAAUAAUUAAUAAAAUUAAUUUGGUUUUUUA
Brassica napus (rape) is the source of this 2673-nucleotide long non-coding RNA. RefSeq lists it as uncharacterized. The transcript has 2 exons. Lineage: Eukaryota; Viridiplantae; Streptophyta; Magnoliopsida; Brassicales; Brassicaceae. The record is from RefSeq and is a predicted model, not a curated record.